This 301-nucleotide ribosomal RNA is filed under the name uncultured bacterium. Its description in RNAcentral is "partial 16S ribosomal RNA". It matches the Rfam family "Bacterial small subunit ribosomal RNA", at positions 509 to 809 of the family's 1533-position model. The record is from RNAcentral.
CAGUCGCCGCGGGAAUACGUAGGGUGCAAGCGUUAAUCGGAAUUACUGGGCGUAAAGCGUGCGUAGGCGGUUUGUUAAGUCUGUUGUGAAAUCCCCGGGCUCAACCUGGGAAUGGCAAUGGAUACUGGCAAGCUAGAGUGUGUCAGAGGAUGGUGGAAUUCCCGGUGUAGCGGUGAAAUGCGUAGAGAUCGGGAGGAACAUCAGUGGCGAAGGCGGCCAUCUGGGACAACACUGACGCUGAGGCACGAAAGCGUGGGGAGCGAACAGGAUUAGAUACCCGAGUAGUCCCUGUCUCUUAUAA